RNAcentral lists this long non-coding RNA (345 nucleotides) under Theobroma cacao (cacao). RNAcentral's name for it is "long non-coding RNA (TCAC_LNC000792)". Lineage: Eukaryota; Viridiplantae; Streptophyta; Magnoliopsida; Malvales; Malvaceae. The record is from RNAcentral.
UCCUUGUCUUCAUUUUCUUUCCAUCUUACAGAAUAAAUUAUGCAGAAACAACCCAACUUCUCAUGCACUCAUAGAAGCUCAACAUAGCUCUAUUUCAGGUUUUUCAACAGAUUGGUAUGACCCAAAUAUCAGCAGUCCCAUCUUUGGACACGUGUAUAUAUAUAUAUAUAUAUAUAUAUUACAUAUGAUAAGUAAAAAAAUUAGUUUNUGUAUAUAUAUAUAUAUAUAUAUAUAUUACAUAUGAUGAAAAAAAAUUGUUAAUUUUUUAAAGCCAUAAGGUACAAAUUGAUGUGCACAUAUUGGGUUAGAGUGUAACAUGAGGUUGGUAUACUCUUCUCCGAGCAG